This 465-nucleotide ribosomal RNA is filed under the name Vreelandella stevensii. Its description in RNAcentral is "partial 16S ribosomal RNA". It matches the Rfam family "Bacterial small subunit ribosomal RNA", at positions 338 to 795 of the family's 1533-position model. Lineage: Bacteria; Pseudomonadati; Pseudomonadota; Gammaproteobacteria; Oceanospirillales; Halomonadaceae. The record is from RNAcentral.
CCUACGGGGUGGCAGCAGUGGGGAAUAUUGGACAAUGGGCGAAAGCCUGAUCCAGCCAUGCCGCGUGUGUGAAGAAGGCCUUCGGGUUGUAAAGCACUUUCAGUGGGGAAGAAAGCCUUGGGGCUAAUACCCUCGAGGAAGGACAUCACCCACAGAAGAAGCACCGGCUAACUCCGUGCCAGCAGCCGCGGUAAUACGGAGGGUGCGAGCGUUAAUCGGAAUUACUGGGCGUAAAGCGCGCGUAGGCGGUCUGAUAAGCCGGUUGUGAAAGCCCCGGGCUCAACCUGGGAACGGCAUCCGGAACUGUCAGGCUAGGGUGCAGGAGAGGAGGGUAGAAUUCCCGGUGUAGCGGUGAAAUGCGUAGAGAUCGGGAGGAAUACCAGUGGCGAAGGCGGCCUUCUGGACUGACACUGACGCUGAGGUGCGAAAGCGUGGGUAGCAAACAGGAUUAGAUACCCUGUAGUC